RNAcentral lists this ribosomal RNA (498 nucleotides) under uncultured bacterium. Its description in RNAcentral is "partial 16S ribosomal RNA". It matches the Rfam family "Bacterial small subunit ribosomal RNA", at positions 30 to 523 of the family's 1533-position model. The record is from RNAcentral.
AUUGAACGCUGGCGGCAUGCCUUACACAUGCAAGUCGAACGGUAACAGGUCUUCGGGUGCUGACGAGUGGCGAACGGGUGAGUAAUACAUCGGAACGUGCCUAGUAGUGGGGGAUAACUACUCGAAAGAGUGGCUAAUACCGCAUGAGAUCUACGGAUGAAAGCAGGGGAUCGCAAGACCUUGUGCUACUAGAGCGGCCGAUGGCAGAUUAGGUAGUUGGUGGGAUAAAAGCUUCCCAAGCCGACGAUCUGUAGCUGGUCUGAGAGGACGAUCAGCCACAGUCGGAGUGAGACACGCGCCAGACUCCUACGGGAGGCAGCAGUGGGGAAUUGUGGACAAUGGGAGAAAGCCUGAUCCAGCAAUGCCGCGUGCAGGAUGAAGGCCUUCGGGUUGUAAACUGCUUUUGUACGGAACGAAAAGCCCUGGGUUAAUACCCUGGGGUCAUGACGGUACCGUAAGAAUAAGCACCGGCUAACUACGUGCCAGCCGCCGCCGUAA